Molecule: ribosomal RNA, 2022 nt
Filed under: Triticum aestivum (bread wheat)
Lineage: Eukaryota; Viridiplantae; Streptophyta; Magnoliopsida; Poales; Poaceae
Description: partial small subunit ribosomal RNA
Source: RNAcentral
AUGGACCUUCGAGAAAGUAUGGUCACUGAAAUGAUCCAAGGGGAUGACAGAUCAAAAUGGUUAUCACAUAGCAACCAUAACAUAAAAUGCUUCGCAGAGAGCGAGAUAAGAAGAAUUACCAGCAACUACGAAACUAUCAUUGGAAACGGCGGCUUUGGAGAAGUUUACAAAGGUGUUAUCCAAGAUGGAAGAAUAGUUGCAGUCAAGAGAUUUAUGUGUAAUGUAGAAGAAAAUUUUGCCAAAGAGCUGAAAGUACACUGUGAAAUCAACCACAAGAAUGUAGUUAGGCUCAUAGGCUACUGUGCCGAGGAAAAUGCCCUAAUGAUAGUCAGUGAGUAUAUAUCUAAAGGGAACCUUAGCGAUAUUCUUCACCAUGAAUGCAUUCCCAUCACGUUGGAUACACGACUGAGGAUUGCGGUGGAGUGUUCAGAGGCAUUGUGUUACAUGCAUUCACAAAUGUAUACUCAGGUCAUUCAUGGUGAUAUCAAACCUGCCAAUAUACGAUUAGAUGACAACUUCAAUGCAAAAAUAUCUAACUUUGGAAUAUCAAGACUUGUCAACACAGGCUCGACCCUUUUCACUGAUCAUGUAAUAGGGAGCAUAGGUUACAUGGACCCUUUGUUUGCUCGCAGCGGGCGUCUCACCUCGAAGAGUGAUGUUUACAGUUUCGGGAUCGUCCUGGUUGAAUUGAUUACAAAGAAAAAGGCAGCGAUAAGAAAUGGGGAGACAGGCAUAGUUGAAUGUUUCACCCAAGCUCUUGCAACAGGGAAGAGAAAGGUGAGACAGCUGUUCGAUGUUGAAAUCUCAAGCCAGAACAACAUGAAGGUUCUUGAAGGGGUUGCGAAGCUAGCAGGACAAUGCUUGAGGAUGGAAAUGGAUCAACGCCCUGAUAUGAGAGAUGUGGCAGAACGUCUUCUGGCACUUAGGAAAACUCAAGUUCAAGGAAAACAAACACUAACUACUUUUCCUUGGGCGUGGAGGAGCAAGCCAGCAGCUCAAAACAACUUGCAAUCUUCUAGCCCAGUCAUGCCACAAUCUUUGCCAUCCAACUUGUGCCGCCAUUUCUCACUUAAAGAGUUGAAAUCCACGACAAGAGACUUUGAUGAGUCACACGUUGUUGGCCAGGCUGGAUCUGGUUGGGUUUACUAUGGAGUGAUUGAUGGGGGAGCAACCAAGGUGGUUAUCAAACGUGGCACAGUAGGGCAGGAUGUGAGUAAGUUCCUCACAAAGAUAGCGAUGAUAGCAAAGCUACGCCACCUUCAUCUUGUAUCAUUGGUCGGUUACUGCAAAGUAGAAAACGUGGUGAUGCUGAUCUAUGACUACAUGGCUGGUGGCACCCUGCGUGAGAACCUUUACGCUAACAACACCAAGAAGCGACUGCUUACUUGGAGUCAGUGUCUAGGCGUCUGCAUUGGUGCUGCUCGUGCCCUGCGUUACCUUCACGAGUGUUCCAUCAUCCCUUUUGUUGUGUCAACAACGAACAUUCUCCUAGAUGAGAGAUUGGUCGGCAAGGUUUCAAGUGCAGUCUCGCUCCAGCAGGAUAACACAGUUACGAUUUAUUGGAGAUAUGGUUUUAUUGAUCCUGAAUUUUACCGCACCGGGGAACUCACAGAGAAAUCCAAUGUGUAUUCUUUUGGUGUUGUGCUGUUUGAGGUUUUGUGUGCUCGGGCUGCCUGGGAUCGUAGUCUUCCAAGGAGACAAGCUCACUUGGUACAAUGUGCCCUUAAUUGCCAGAAAAAGGGCAUUCUUGAUCUGAUUGUUGAUCCCUAUCUUGAAGGGAAGAUUUCUCCAUGGUGCUUCAAGAAAUUUGUGGAGAUUGCUGAGAAAUGUGUUAGUGAUCGUGGUAUCGAUCGCCCUACAAUGCAAGAAGUGCUUGAGAACUUGGAGUUGUGCCUUGCAGACCAAAGCAGAAGCCUUGGUGAUGAGAUGCCAGACGAUGCUGACGCUGAUGGUCCUUCAAGGAGAGAACGUCGGCUGAACCUGGAGAUGUACCUUGCAGAAGACGAUGAUUCCACCCAAUGA